This 1403-nucleotide long non-coding RNA is filed under the name Castor canadensis (American beaver). Its description in RNAcentral is "lncRNA (ENSCCNG00000029001.1)". Lineage: Eukaryota; Metazoa; Chordata; Mammalia; Rodentia; Castoridae. The record is from RNAcentral.
UGGCCUUGGGGCAGGUGGCCCUGGUCUUCAGGCAUGCAGCUCCAUGCAGAUCCAGGCGUGGUGGUGGCGGCUAAAGCUGUUUUGCUGGUGGGCUGAGCAUGGGAGGUGUUUUCUCUACUGCAGGGUCAGUUGCUGAGACCCUCGCCCAGGCCCAUGCCUGGCUGAGCAGAGGGGAGGCAGAAGCCCUCUGGCCUCCUUGUCUGAGCUGGACAGCCUCUGCAGGGCAGCCUCAGUGCCCAGCGGCUCCCUUGGCCCAACUCUUGCUCUGUCUGCAGCAUCCAUCAUGGCUCACCUUACCACGCUUCCAGUCCUGAAUCAAAUGCAAUCUGCCCCACUUGACUCAUCUUCCUGAGGCCCCUCGGCUGGCCCAGUCUGGCUGGGGUGCCCCACCCGGAGGCCUCUGCUCUCCCUGGGAAACACUGUGGGAGCCGGCGACAAUGGGCUUCUAUCUGGGGAGAAACCUGAGCUGGUUCAGCUUGCAUCCACAGCACAGCAUUCUCACAGCCACGCUGCGAAACCCGACCUGCCCACGCUGUUGGAGUCUUGCUGGCUUUGAAAAUGAGAAUGAGGGAAUGGCACCAACCCCGAAAGCUCGGACAGAACAUGGCUCCCUGGAUCUCUCGGAGAUUUCCUGAAGUCCCCUGGGCAGGUGACAGGCAGGAUCCUGGAGAUCUGCACUUGGAUUUGAACUGCAGGCUGCCUCCCUGACCACGGCACUCCUGCCGCAGUCUCACAGGUAGCACGUGCCCCAAGCAGCAGGCCUCACUGCCACUCAAACAUGCUUCCCAAACCCUGGACUAAAAAAACCACAGCGGGCUCCCAGGCAUGCAGGGUGGAGGGGAUGCAAAACCCAUUUCAUUUCCUACACUGUUGGCAUGUGCACCACCCUGAGUAGGGAGCGCUCCCUGGCCUUGCUGGCUUCCCAGGAGGGCAGCGGGCCCCAGGCAUCCUGGGGCUGAGCCCUGGAACAGGGCCUUCUCACUUUCCCAGGACUCCUCCUUCUUCCCAAGUCUGGGGUUCAGAACAGCCUGGUCCCAAGCUGUCAGGUCCCAAAUAUGGAUAGUUGGCAACAGAGCUGACCAGAGCUUCCCUAAGCACAACAAGGAAGGUCAGGUACACCCAGCAUUCUGCCUGGACCCCUCCAGGCCUGGGUGAGGUCCUGGUCUCAGGAGAGCCAGAGGGCAACCACACUCCCUUCACUGAGACCCAGGGCACACACCAUUGUCCUGUAGAUCUGACCUCCCUGAUCUCUGUAGGUCAAAGGACAGCCUGGGCAGGAGUCAGUCACCCACACCAUGAGGCCACAGCCGGUGGCCACUGUGACUGGGAGGGGACUGCUCUGUCCGUGCUUGGUCUAAAAUGUGUGUAAUAAACCUGUGAAUAAGGCGGGCUGACUGUAGUAU